Long non-coding RNA from Cimex lectularius (bed bug), 1411 nucleotides. RefSeq lists it as uncharacterized. Lineage: Eukaryota; Metazoa; Arthropoda; Insecta; Hemiptera; Cimicidae. The transcript has 2 exons. The record is from RefSeq and is a predicted model, not a curated record.
AGUCUACUGAAAAACGUCAAUUCGGAUGAAAAAACACGGACUAGGAAGCUUUUUAAAAAACAAACCACCUUUUUUCUCAACUCUAAAUGACGUAACGUCCUUCUAGUACGUCAAUGCUUCAUUCGUGAAAAUAAAAAUUAAAAAAUACGGAAUUUAAACACCCAAAUUUCCAGUGACACCAUACCUACGUGGGUAUUUAGAAUCACACCUAAAACAUAAAAUAUGGAUGGAUUGGGAACAAGAUUGGCACAUCGUAGACAACCUACCAAACAUCAAAGAUUCAGUCAGGAGUGUUUGCCAUAGGAGAAGCAGAAGGAACGCAUUUACCAAGAAAAGAAACAUAGAAAUACAAGUCCUAUGCUUCUUUAAUGAAAUGCUGCUUUUAAAAAACAGUUUAAAACAAAGUUAAACACCAAAAAGCAAAUUAUCACUGAUUACCACAAGAACUCUAGGCAAAUCUUGGGGAUUAAAAGUGAAAAUGGCCAAUUGGCUAAAUAUGGCAGUAUUAAGGCCUCGGUUCACUAAUCUGGUGGACCAAAACACAACAAACUAGCCAAACAUCAGGCGGGAUACAAACUGGCAAACUUACAAACCGAUGAAAACAGUCCCAUCAAUUGCACUAGAAACACUGCUAAACCUAACUCAUUAAAAUAAAUCAAAGGUUGGCUCGCCCUUCAAAUUGGGAAGAAAAAAAAGCAAUAUUUGCUGGGAUCUCAAGUGGUGUGUCUGAGAUUGGUCACUUGGGAAUAACAUUAGACUCUGCGUUUAUUUGCUCUCCGCAUGUUAGUUUAGUUCUGGCCCAGAGCAAUAGAAGCUUGGGGUUCCUUAAGAGAAAUACAUCAGAUUUCUGAAAUAUUAUUAUUAAAAUAUUUAUAUUUUGGGUUAGUUCAGAGCAUACUUGAGUACUGUAGCUUGGUUUGGUUUCCCAGGGGCAUUUAAUCUAAGGUCUACUUGAAGGAGUUCAGUGGAACUCUAUUAAAUACCUAAUUUACAAGUUAGGACUUCAAUGGGAGUAUGAUGACCGGUUGAAACUGUACAAAAUGUGAUAACGGUCAUUACUCCUUCCACAACUUCUCAGUCAGAUAAAUUUAUAUGCCCAUUUCAAAUUCAAAUUGUCGUCAGCAACAGUUUUUACACCCAGUUUCAUAGGACUAAUAGUGGGAAAUUUGGCACAAUGACUUACCUUCAAAAGACAUUUAAUGAAAUCUGUGACAUGCAUCAUUUAGAUAUAUUUGGAUCCUCAUUGAAUGUAUUCAAAAACGAAAUGUUUAAAUGCUUGUCGUCAUGAUUAUAAUUAGUUCAUUCAUGUUUGUUACACUAUUUGUAUUUCUUAAUUUAAAAUAUGUAAUAUGACUACUGAUUGGGGGUCAUCCCCAGUAAUGUACUAAAAUAAAUAUCACUUUUCUUUAAA